GCGGCUGUGGUUCAACGGCAGAAUGUCCCCGUGCCAAGGAGACGAUCCGGGUGCGAUUCCCGGCGGCCGCUCCA
Molecule: transfer RNA, 74 nt
Filed under: Verrucomicrobiota bacterium
Lineage: Bacteria; Pseudomonadati; Verrucomicrobiota
Description: Verrucomicrobia bacterium (freshwater metagenome) tRNA-Gly
Rfam family: tRNA
About the family: Transfer RNA (tRNA) molecules are approximately 80 nucleotides in length. Their secondary structure includes four short double-helical elements and three loops (D, anti-codon, and T loops). Further hydrogen bonds mediate the characteristic L-shaped molecular structure. tRNAs have two regions of fundamental functional importance: the anti-codon, which is responsible for specific mRNA codon recognition, and the 3' end, to which the tRNAs corresponding amino acid is attached (by aminoacyl-tRNA synthetases). tRNAs cope with the degeneracy of the genetic code in two manners: having more than one tRNA (with a specific anti-codon) for a particular amino acid; and 'wobble' base-pairing, i.e. permitting non-standard base-pairing at the 3rd anti-codon position.
Source: RNAcentral